AGUGAACGCUGGCGGUAGGCCUAACACAUGCAAGUCGAACGGCAGCACAGUAAGGGCUUGCUCUUACUGGUGGCGAGUGGCGUACGGGUGAGGAAUACAUCGGAAUCUACUUUUUCGUGGGGGAUAACGUAGGGAAACUUACGCUAAUACCGCAUACGACCUACGGGGGAAAGCAGGGGAUCUUCGGACCUUGCGCGAUUGAAUGAGCCGAUGUCGGAUUAGCUAGUUGGCGGGGUAAAGGCCCACCAAGGCGACGAUCCGUAGCUGGUCUGAGAGGAUGAUCAGCCACACUGGAACUGAGACACGGUCCAGACUCCUACGGGAGGCAGCAGUGGGGAAUAUUGGACAAUGGGGGCAAGCCUGAUCCAGCCAUACCGCGUGGGUGAAGAAGGCCUUCGGGUUGUAAAGCCCUUUUGUUGGGAAAGAAAAGCAGCAGGUUAAUACCCCGCUGUUCUGACGGUACCCAAAGAAUAAGCACCGGCUAACUUCGUG
This 492-nucleotide ribosomal RNA is filed under the name uncultured bacterium. RNAcentral describes it as "partial 16S ribosomal RNA". It matches the Rfam family "Bacterial small subunit ribosomal RNA", at positions 29 to 507 of the family's 1533-position model. The record is from RNAcentral.